Carya illinoinensis is the source of this 600-nucleotide long non-coding RNA. RefSeq lists it as uncharacterized. The transcript is spliced from 2 exons. The record is from RefSeq and is a predicted model, not a curated record. NCBI's taxonomy places the organism in Eukaryota, Viridiplantae, Streptophyta, Magnoliopsida, Fagales, Juglandaceae.
AUUUCAUAAUUUUGCAAGUUAAUUUUUGUUGACAGAAGUCAAACCAGAAACUUCUUGUUCUACUGUUGACGCAAGGCACAAUAGAAACUUGUUUCAGGUGCAGAGCUGAGUUUUUCUAGUUACAUUUAAAUGUGAGAGAAACAGGAAUCAAGCCAUCACAUAGUUGGUUCCUUACCCACUGUAUCAAAACUUUGUGCCAUGGGAGUAACUCCAGCAGUAGAGAUGGCAUCAUGUGAAGGCCGAAACCCCAGAAUUCCACAAUAUGAUGCAGGUACUCUUACACUUCCUCCAGUGUCGGUUCCUAUGAUAGAGAGAACUAUUUGGUUCAAUCUAGUUAGGGCAAGCCAAUAACAUUUGACUUGUUCAUGAAAGAAACUCACCUAAGGCGAAAUCUACAAGCUUUGCACCAACUGCAACAGCAGACCCGCUGGAAGAUCCUCCUGGUAUCCGAUCAGGCACACAUGGAUUUCUAGGUGUUCCAUAAUGUAUGUUUACUCCAUUUAUACUGCCAAAAAAUGGUCUUGAAUUAAUGAUGUGAAUAUUCAAGGAUCUAUUUUUCAAAGAUGAAUAAAUGAGUGAGAGCCCACAACUAUUUAGGAA